This 71-nucleotide transfer RNA is filed under the name Christinus marmoratus. RNAcentral's name for it is "tRNA-Trp". It matches the Rfam family "tRNA". From Rfam's summary of the family: Transfer RNA (tRNA) molecules are approximately 80 nucleotides in length. Their secondary structure includes four short double-helical elements and three loops (D, anti-codon, and T loops). The record is from RNAcentral. Lineage: Eukaryota; Metazoa; Chordata; Lepidosauria; Squamata; Gekkonidae.
AGAAAUUUAGGCUGCCCCAAACCAAUAGCCUUCAAAGCUAUAAACAUGAGUAAUAAACCUCAUAAUUUCUG